This 24-nucleotide non-coding RNA is filed under the name Arabidopsis thaliana (thale cress). The record is from RNAcentral. Lineage: Eukaryota; Viridiplantae; Streptophyta; Magnoliopsida; Brassicales; Brassicaceae.
GGGUCGAAUGGGGAGCCCACAGGC